Molecule: ribosomal RNA, 525 nt
Filed under: Frateuria sp. A13
Lineage: Bacteria; Pseudomonadati; Pseudomonadota; Gammaproteobacteria; Lysobacterales; Rhodanobacteraceae
Description: bacterial SSU rRNA
Rfam family: Bacterial small subunit ribosomal RNA
Source: RNAcentral
AGAGUUUUGAUUCCUGGCUCAGAUUGAACGCUGGCGGCAUGCCUAACACAUGCAAGUCGAACGGCAGCACAGCAGAGCUUGCUUCUUGUGGGUGGCGAGUGGCGGACGGGUGAGUAAUGCAUCGGGACCUACCCAGACGUGGGGGAUAACGUAGAGGAAACUUACGCUAAUACCGCAUACGUCCUACGGGAGAAAGCAGGGGACCUUCGGGCCUUGCGCGGUUGGACGGACCGAUGUGCGAUUAGCUAGUUGGUAGGGUAAUGGCCUACCAAGGCGACGAUCGCUAGCUGGUCUGAGAGGAUGAUCAGCCACACUGGGACUGAGACACGGCCCAGACUCCUACGGGAGGCAGCAGUGGGGAAUAUUGGACAAUGGGCGCAAGCCUGAUCCAGCAAUGCCGCGUGUGUGAAGAAGGCCCUCGGGUUGUAAAGCACUUUUAUCAGGAACGAAAUACCACGGGUUAAUACCCUAUGGGGCUGACGGUACCUGAGGAAUAAGCACCGGCUUAAACUUUUCGUGGCCCAC